CGGAGGGAAACCGAGUCUUAAUUGGGCGUUAAGUUGCAGGGUAUAGACCCGAAACCCGGUGAUCUAGCCAUGGGCAGGUUGAAGGUUGGGUAACACUAACUGGAGGACCGAACCGACUAAUGUUGAAAAAUUAGCGGAUGACCUGUGGCUGGGGGUGAAAGGCCAAUCAAACCGGGAGAUAGCUGGUUCUCCCCGAAAGCUAUUUAGGUAGCGCCUCGUGAAUUCAUCUCCGGGGGUAGAGCACUGUUUCGGCUAGGGGGCCAUCCCGGCUUACCAACCCGAUGCAAACUGCGAAUACCGGAGAAUGUUAUCACGGGAGACACACGGCGGGUGCUAACGUCCGUCGUGAAGAGGGAAACAACCCAGACCGCCAGCUAAGGUCCCAAAGUCAUGGUUAAGUGGGAAACGAUGUGGGAAGGCCCAGACAGCCAGGAUGUUGGCUUAGAAGCAGCCAUCAUUUAAAGAAAGCGUAAUAGCUCACUGGUCGAGUCGGCCUGCGCGGAAGAUGUAACGGGGCUAAACCAUGCACCGAAGCUGCGG
This 540-nucleotide ribosomal RNA is filed under the name Salmonella enterica subsp. enterica serovar Paratyphi B var. L(+) tartrate +. RNAcentral describes it as "partial 23S ribosomal RNA". It matches the Rfam family "Bacterial large subunit ribosomal RNA", at positions 667 to 1205 of the family's 2925-position model. The record is from RNAcentral. Lineage: Bacteria; Pseudomonadati; Pseudomonadota; Gammaproteobacteria; Enterobacterales; Enterobacteriaceae.